UGUGUCACACCCUAAAGGUUUCCCCUGAGGGAAGCAUACUUCUGGGUCUACCAUUUUUCUCGCGGUUGGGGGAGCGGCUUGUCGGUUUGAAAAAAGCCCCCUUAUCGCAGCCCCAUCAUUCUGAGCGCGAAACAGGCUGACCCGGCCAUGAGGAGAGUUCCCCCCCCCACCGCCGCCUCCCAGAAUGUUUGAAACCAUCUGUUCUCCUGUAUAAAGAUGUCGCUGAUAGACCUGGGGAAGAAGCUCCUGGAAGCAGCCCGCCAAGGCCAGGAUGACGAAAUCAGGCUGCUGAUGGCCAACGGAGCCCCCUUCACCACGGAAUGGACUCGCUUCUUCCCCAAGUGAGCCCAGAAGGUGAGAAAAAAAUCCAGGCCUGGAUUUGCUUACACUUGUGAAGCUGAACUUUCCAGCAGGUAUAUAAUUAGAAGCAAGAACUCGGCGGGGGAAUUGCUUUCAUAAUAAUUCCAUAUUUAUAUUUUUAUCUCCUCUGCAGAAGCUGCGGGAAAAGGCUGGGGGGGGGGAAUGGGCUGGCUCUAUUGGUCUGGAGCAUUGUGUGUGUGUCCCCCCCCCCUUAUUGCAAGAAAUGGAUGCUUUUCCCACCAAGGGGUCCAAGUGUGGGUCCUGGGGAUUAGAUUGCAAGGAGGGCAGUGAUCGGGCAUCCCGCUACAGCUGUGCUUUUCAACCUUGGCACCUUCAAGAGAGGUGGACUUCUACUCCCACAAUUCCCCGGCUGGCCUGGACUUCAACUCCCAGAAUUCCAUCAUCAGCAUGCCAGUUAGAGCAUUCUGGGAGUUGAAGUCCACUCCUCUUAAAGCAUACUGGCUGGGGGAUUCUGGGAGUUGAAGGGCCUGCUCUGUGCCUCCAUCUAACAUUUGGUUAAAGCCCACCCAAAUGGGAUGGGGAUGUUUUUAAAAACCCUGGUGGGGUCUGGAAGCUGGUAGAAAAAGGAGGGCGGCUGUGGGACCCCCUCUCAGCCAUUCUGAUGCUUUUGUUCUCUUUUUAAAAACUCCAGACUUUUUUGUGAUUGGAGGGGGGGGAAUACGUGUCAAGCCCAGAUCCGGGGAAAUCGUGUGAAAGGGAGGAGGGAUCCUUGUUACAGCGAGAAGCUGCCACUGUGUCAGCAUUUUCCUGAACCAUCUGCCAGGCACAACUUUGCCACUAUAAAUACAACUCCCGACGCCGCAGCCGAGGGUGCUCAGCCUGGCAUCUCAGCGCCAGCCAACAGCCGCGCGGCUGCUGUGCCUUGCCAGGCGCUGUCGGGAAGAUUUCGAGAGAGAUCUGCCAGAUCGCACCAGGGCAUCGGAGCCCCAGGCCUGCCCUUCCCAGCCAUCCUCCCUGAGCUGCCAGGCUUGUAGCAGGCAGGGUGUCCCCUCCAAGAGGCUAGUACUCAUGGCAACUGAGGGUCAAAUCUUGCCUCUUUUCUUCCAGAGAUGGAAAUAGCUGUAUCAUGUGAAAAGCAACACACACAGCAGAGAAGUGUUUCUGUUUGUCUGUGUUUCUUUUUCAAAAACAACAACAACAACAACAACAACAACAACCUUGCCUUCUGGCUAGCAGAAAAAUAUCUCGCCUUUCCUUUGUCAUCAUUUUAAGCGGCCGAGCCAGAAUCCCUUCACUUCACUUAACGAGAAUCCCCAGGCCUUGAAUUUAUGAUAUGGAUUUUUUUUUUGUUUCCAAUGGGAGAGAAAAUGAAGAUUUUGUUGGAUAUUUGCAGUGGCCUUUAUGCAUGGACAGAUGUUGCAGUGAAAUUAUCUUUUCGGCACCUUUUGCAAAAAAAAAAAAAUCAGUUUGGUGAUGCCUGCUGGCUGGGGAAUUCUGGGAGUUGAAGUCCACCCAUCUUAAACUGUCCAGGUUGAUGAGUUUCCUUGGAAGUUUCCCUUCCAAGGAAACUCAUCCAGCCUCAGGGUGGCACGCUGGACUUAGGAGAUGUUCAGCACCAGAAUAUUGCAUCAAGGCGGUGACUUUUUUGCAGGAUUUUCUCCCUCCCCCCUUGAUACCUCCAAGGGGAAAAAAAUUCUAAUAACAGUCCAAGCCCACCUCGGUCAGUUCCAGACAUGCAUUUUUAAAAGGUCUCCCAGGCUACAAAACGGGGGUGCCCCAAAAGGCACAAAGUCGUUGGCUGAAGAGAAAAGGCUGGCAAGAUUUGAAGCUCUCCAAACUCAGCACUUAUAUAUAGGGGGGGGGAGAAGAGAAAAAAAGGGAGGAUCCAUCUUUUUUUGCCUUCAGGUAGACUUUGCUUGGACAUGGAGGUUCCAUUCUGAGGUCUGGGAACUCUCAUCAAAGCAUUCCUAAAAGCACUGGGAGUUCUGCGGCCAUUUCCACCAAAUUGCAUUUAAAAAAAAAAAUGAAUGAAAAUGUUCACCUGGGGUAGCGAAAAGCAGCCCAGACCCAUUGA
Crotalus tigris (Tiger rattlesnake) is the source of this 2395-nucleotide long non-coding RNA. RefSeq lists it as uncharacterized. The record is from RefSeq and is a predicted model, not a curated record. NCBI's taxonomy places the organism in Eukaryota, Metazoa, Chordata, Lepidosauria, Squamata, Viperidae. The transcript has 3 exons.